This 540-nucleotide ribosomal RNA is filed under the name Chloroflexota bacterium. Its description in RNAcentral is "Chloroflexi bacterium partial 23S ribosomal RNA". It matches the Rfam family "Bacterial large subunit ribosomal RNA", at positions 2386 to 2925 of the family's 2925-position model. Lineage: Bacteria; Bacillati; Chloroflexota. The record is from RNAcentral.
AAGUCGAGAAGAGACGAAAGUCGGGCUUAGUGAUCCUACGGCACAGAGUGGAAUGGCCGUAGCUUACCGGAUAAAAGCUACCCCGGGGAUAACAGGCUAGUCUUGCCCAAGAGUUCAAAUCGACGGCAAGGCUCGGCACCUCGAUGUCGGCUCAUCGCAUCCUGGGGCAGAAUCGUGUCCCAAGGGUUGGGCUGUUCGCCCAUUAAAGCGGUACGUGAGCUGGGUUCAGACCGUCGUGAGACAGGUCGGUCUCUAUCCGCUAUGGGCGGUGGGAAUUUGCGAGGAGUUGCCCCUAGUACGAGAGGACCGGGGUGGACGAAGCGCUCGUGCAUCAGUUGUCGCGCCGGCGGCAUAGCUGAGUAGCGACCUUCGGAGAGGAUAACCGCUGAAAGCAUCUAAGUGGGAAGCCAUCCUCAAGACGAGAUUCCCCAUUGGUAGAACCAAGUAAGACCGCUGGGAGACUACCAGUUAGAUAGGCGGGGGGGGUAAGCGCAGCAAUGCGUGUAGCUGACCCGUACUAAUGGUCGAGGGCUUUCCGUA